GAAACAGGUUAAUAUUCCUGUACUUGGUGUUACUGCGAAGGGGGGACGGAGAAGGCUAGGCUAGCCGGGCGACGGUUGUCCCGGUUUAAGCGUGUAGGGGGUGUGACCUGGUAAAUCCGGUUGCAUAUCAACCCUGAGGCGUGAUGACGAUGCACUACGGUGCAGAAGUAGUUGAUGCCCUGCUUCCAGGAAAAGCCUCUAAGCAUCAGGUAACAUUAAAUCGUACCCCAAACCGACACAGGUGGUCAGGUAGAGAAUACCAAGGCGCUUGAGAGAACUCGGGUGAAGGAACUAGGCAAAAUGGUGCCGUAACUUCGGGAGAAGGCACGCUGG
Molecule: ribosomal RNA, 333 nt
Filed under: Serratia sp. Nf2
Lineage: Bacteria; Pseudomonadati; Pseudomonadota; Gammaproteobacteria; Enterobacterales; Yersiniaceae
Description: bacterial LSU rRNA
Rfam family: Bacterial large subunit ribosomal RNA
Source: RNAcentral